This is a long non-coding RNA of Sinocyclocheilus grahami, 2592 nucleotides long. Ensembl annotates it as dystrophin-related protein 2-like. The record is from Ensembl. Lineage: Eukaryota; Metazoa; Chordata; Actinopteri; Cypriniformes; Cyprinidae.
GUUAACCCCUGCUGGAACCAACCAGCCUUUUCGGACAACAGCGGGAAGCUCCAGCUGUCCCUGCAGGAGAUCAUCGAAUGGCUGACAGCUAAAGACGAGGAGCUGUCCGAGCAGCUGCCCAUAGGUGGUGAUGUGGGAGCGGUGCAGCACCAGCGGGAGUUCCACCAGGCUUUCAUGGAAGAUGUCAAAUCCAGAGGGCCCUACAUCUACUCGGUGUUGGAAUCAGCUCAGACCUUCCUUUCACAACACCCCUUCCAGGAGCCUGAGGAGACAUUGCCUGAUGGCAAAGAAGGCUCUCCUCGCCGGCGAAUGCUGAAUGUAAGUCGCUCCGUAUGGAAGCAGGCCAAUGUGGCCAGUGACCUGUGGGAGAAGUUGACAGCGCGCUGCGUGGACCGACACCGGCACAUGGAGCGAACCCUGGAGAGGCUGCUGCAGAUCCAGGCCGCCAUGGAGGAGCUGGCUGUGGCUCUGGAGCAGGCGGAGGGAGUAAGGGACGCCUGGGAGCCUGUGGGAGACCUGUUUAUUGAUUCGCUGCAGGACCAUAUAGACGCUACCAAGCUAUUUAAAGAAGAGCUGACCCAGGUGAAGGAAGGAAUGAAACACAUAAAUGACCUGGCCCACCAGCUGGCCAUAUCCGAUGUGCACUUGUCCAUGGAGAACGCCAGAGCUCUGGAGCACCUCAACAACAGAUGGAAACUUCUGCAGGGGUCUAUUGAAGAACGUCUGAAACAGUUGCAAGAUGCCCACAGAGAUUUUGGCCCCGGAUCACAGCACUUUCUUUCCAGUAAGUGUGGUAACUCACUUGAAGCCGUAGAGUCUUCUGCCGGAGUCCAUCAGGCUCAGACAACCUGCUGGGACCAUCCAAAGAUGACUGAAUUAUACCAAGCUCUGGCGGACCUGAACAAUAUCAAGUUCUCUGCAUACCGGACUGCCAUGAAGCUGAGGCAUGUGCAGAAGGCUUUAAGAUUGGACCUGCUGAAGUUAAGCAGCGUGGUGGACGUGUUUCGAGAACAGGAGCUGCAGCAUGCCGAGCAUGUGAUGGAUGUGGUGGAGGUCAUUCACGCUCUCACUUCCCUGUAUGAGAAACUAGAGGAGGAGAGGUCCAUCCUGAUCAAUAUCCCCCUGUGCGUCGACAUGUGUCUCAACUGGCUGCUGAAUGUUUACGACAGUGGUCGUAAUGGUAAGAUGCGAGUGCUCUCCUUCAAGACGGGCCUGGUUAUUCUAUGCAGUGCAGACAUCCAGGAAAAGUAUAAAUACCUUUUCAGACAGGUGUGUGGUCCAGGUGGACUGACAGAUCAGAAACAUCUCAGCCUGUUACUGCAUGAGGCUAUUCAGAUCCCUCGGCAGCUCGGGGAAGUGGCGGCGUUUGGAGGAAGCAACGUGGAGCCCAGUGUCCGCAGCUGCUUUCGAAUGGCUCCAGGUAAGUCAGCUAUCGAGGUGUCUCACUUUCUGGAGUGGAUGAGCCUAGAGCCUCAGUCUGUGGUGUGGCUUCCUGUUCUACACCGGGUAACUGUGGCAGAGACAGCCAAGCACCAGGCACGCUGCUACAUCUGUAAGCAGUGCCCUAUCAAGGGCUUCAGAUACCGAAGUCUGAAACAGUUCAAUGUGGACAUCUGCCAGAUGUGUUUUCUGACGGGCCGGACUACCAAGGGCAAGAAACUACACUACCCCAUCAUGGAGUACUACACCCCGACGACCUCAGGCGAGAAGAUGCGGGACUUCGCAAAGACGCUAAAGAACAAGUUCCGCUCGAAGCAGUAUUUUAGUAAACACCCUCAGAGGGGAUACCUGCCCGUUCAAUCAGUACUGGAGGUGGAGAGCUCUGAGACGCCCUGCUCAUCUCCCAGGCUGCCUCAUGCGGACACACACAGCCGGAUCGAGCAUUUUGCCAGCAGGUUGGCAGAAAUGGAGAACCAGAGCUGCUCCUUUUUCACCGACAGUCUCUCUCCAGAUGAAAGUUUGGAUGAAGAUCAGUACCUCCUACGUCACUCCAGCCCCGCCCUCGAGCAGGACUCCCCCCACGGCCACCUGCUGGCCCACCUGGACUGCCAGGACAGAGAAGAGCUGCAGCGCACCCUCCAACGCCUGGAGAACGAGAACAGGGUGCUGCAGGGCGAGUAUCGGCGGCUGAAGUGGAAGCAUGAAGAGGCAGCAUCUUCACCUCAGCUGCUGGAAUCGGGUCCCGGUUCACCGGCCGGUCAGCAGGACGAGGAGCUCCUAGCCGAGGCUCGAGUCCUUCGACAGCACAAGACCCGCCUGGAGACGCGCAUGCAGAUUCUAGAGGACCACAACAAGCAACUGGAGUCCCAACUACACAGACUCAGAGAACUACUGCUGCAGCCCAAAGACGACUCAGAGGCCAAUGGCUCAGAUCCUUCUUCUCUAUCGUCGCCUGUGUCAGGGGGUGGCCAGCAGGGGGAGCCUCCCAGUAGAGAGACCACAGACACAGAAGCUGCAGGUGAAGAUUUGGAUCACGAGCAGGACACCGUACUGCAGCUGCAGCAGGUAAUCGAACAGCUGAGGAACGUCUUCCCAUCUGAGCCAGGUCCAUGAGGAACCUGAAGCAAAACUCAGAGGCCUAAAAUUGUGCAG